UCCGAUUUGUCACCGGCAGUCUCCUUAGAGUGCCCGGGCUUGACGCUGGUAACUAAGGACAAGGGUCGCGCUCGUUGCGGGACUUAACCCAACACCUCACGGCACGAGCUGACGACAACCAUGCAGCAUCUGUCACGCUCCCUUGCGGGUCAUCCCUGUUUCCAGGUCUUACCACGUGCAUGUCAAGCCCAGGUAAGGUUCUUCGCGUUGCAUCGAAUUAAACCACACGCUCCGCUGCUUGUGCGGGCCCCCGUCAAUUCCUUUGAGUUUUAGCCUUGCGGCCGUAGUCCCCAGGCGGAGCACUUAUUGCGUUAGCUGCGGGACCGGGGGGGUCGAUACCCCCGACACCUAGUGCUCAUCGUUUACGGCGUGGACUAC
RNAcentral lists this unclassified non-coding RNA (378 nucleotides) under uncultured Chloroflexota bacterium. RNAcentral describes it as "uncultured Chloroflexi bacterium contains 16S-23S intergenic spacer region". The record is from RNAcentral. Lineage: Bacteria; Bacillati; Chloroflexota.